AGGAAGGCGGUAUUGGCUUCACUUCAGAUUCCUGCCAAUUUAUUUUGCAACCAGAAAACCUGGAACCUCAACCUCCUCAAGGCAACCACAGGGAGAGAGAAGAUCUGAAUUGGAAGGGAAAUCAAAGCCCUGUCCGUCUGCCAGAUGUCUGGAGCAUUUAAGAUGGAAUUAUUAGAGGGCGAUUGCUUAAAUAUGAUUGUGUGUUGAGCAUGAUUCGAUGGAACAGAACCCAAAAGUGGGUCCCUAAAAAGCUUGAAAGGAAAGACAAGCUGGAUGCCAUUUAUGGGAAUCAAUUUUGUGGCAACUUGGAGGACUUAUGAGCAGUAGAUUUGAGCCAUAAACCAUACUCAAAGAUGGGCAGGGCUGAAAGUUUGGAUCGAAAAGUAAUUUGGUGGAUGUAAAACAAGAGAAUGUUCCAGAAAUUAAGAAAGAAGACACCAAGGCAGUAAUAUUUGAAAGGAAUGAGGUUUGCUUCACAAGGCCAA
Long non-coding RNA from Tachyglossus aculeatus (Australian echidna), 485 nucleotides. RefSeq lists it as uncharacterized. The transcript has 3 exons. The record is from RefSeq and is a predicted model, not a curated record. NCBI's taxonomy places the organism in Eukaryota, Metazoa, Chordata, Mammalia, Monotremata, Tachyglossidae.